This 261-nucleotide ribosomal RNA is filed under the name uncultured bacterium. RNAcentral describes it as "partial 16S ribosomal RNA". It matches the Rfam family "Bacterial small subunit ribosomal RNA", at positions 511 to 772 of the family's 1533-position model. The record is from RNAcentral.
GCCGCCGCGGUAAUACGUAGGGGGCGAGCGUUAUCCGGAUUCAUUGGGCGUAAAGCGCGCGUAGGCGGCCUGGCAGGCCUGGGGUCAAAUCCGGGGGCUCAACCCCCGUCCGCCCCGGGAACCGCCUGGCUCGGGUCCGGUAGGGGAGGGUGGAACACCCGGUGUAGCGGUGGAAUGCGCAGAUAUCGGGUGGAACACCGGUGGCGAAGGCGGCCCUCUGGGCCGAGACCGACGCUGAGGCGCGAAAGCUGGGGGAGCGAA